Non-coding RNA from Danio rerio (zebrafish), 733 nucleotides. NCBI's taxonomy places the organism in Eukaryota, Metazoa, Chordata, Actinopteri, Cypriniformes, Danionidae. The record is from Ensembl.
GUGCCAUGCGGAGCUGAGGAGAAGAAAAUGAUGUGAAAGUCACCCUUUUGUUAGAGUGGCUGCAUCCUUGGAGGAUUGCUGUCUGAAAUGACAAACUUUCAGAGCCAACAAGUGUUUCUGACACUCGCAGAAAUGCCAAUCCAUCCAAAGGUGAUGGACAUGGAGCAGAGAACCUCAAACCUGCAAACGAAUGCCAACGACCUGCGAGAAUCAGCGUGCACUUCAAAUUCAGUGCGCACUGACAAGAGGGAUGAAGUGUGUUUGUCUGCAUUUCCAUACGUGCCGAGACUACAAGCAAGAAACACAUACACACGCAAAGGGAAGACAACCGUUCUGGGUGUGAUGUCAAUUUUUAUGUGCGUCUCCUGUGGCGGAGUUGCUUUCACUUGUCAGCCUGCUUGUUUAAGAACUCGCCUGUAAGGGCUCAGAUCAUCUCCAGAUUGAAGAUUCUUUUGGGUCGAUUCUUUCUGCGUGCACAUACACCAAGCAUGCUGGAGAAGGGAAAUGAGGUGGAAAGAGAUGCCCACCCAUUGAUCGGUUCUGCUCUGAUGUUCUUACUCACAUCCUGCAUAUGCAAAUUAACUUUUUGCUUAAAAUAAUGACAAUUUUUAGUUGCUGUGAGCAUGGUUUUAUGCUUAUGUGAUGAAUUGAUUGUGACUCCUCUUAAAGAGGUCAUCAAAUGUACUUUUAAUAAUGAAUUGCUACUCAGCAUUGUUUAAAAUGUGUAUACAUA